GGCCGGGUGGUGUAGUUGGUUAUCACGUUUCGUUAACACCGAAAAGGUCCUGGGAUCGAACCCCAGCCUGGUCA
Pseudogymnoascus sp. 23342-1-I1 is the source of this 74-nucleotide non-coding RNA. The record is from Rfam. Lineage: Eukaryota; Fungi; Ascomycota; Leotiomycetes; Thelebolales; Thelebolaceae.